This 287-nucleotide ribosomal RNA is filed under the name uncultured bacterium. RNAcentral's name for it is "partial 16S ribosomal RNA". It matches the Rfam family "Bacterial small subunit ribosomal RNA", at positions 333 to 612 of the family's 1533-position model. The record is from RNAcentral.
GAAUGCCUACGGGGCGCAGCAGUAGGGAAUCUUCCACAAUGGACGAAAGUCUGAUGGAGCAACGCCGCGUGAGUGAAGAAGGGUUUCGGCUCGUAAAACUCUGUUGGUAGUGAAGAAAGAUAGAGGUAGUAACUGGCCUUUAUUUGACGGUAAUUACUUAGAAAGUCACGGCUAACUACGUGCCAGCGGCCGCGGUAAUACGUAGGUGGCAAGCGUUGUCCGGAUUUAUUGGGCGUAAAGCGAGUGCAGGCGGGUCACUAAGGCUGGUGUGAAAGCCUUCGUGUCAA